AGAUUUACUCCUUUAUUUUCUUCUGAGAGUAUUAAAUUUUUAUCCCUUUUUUGUUAUAUUUUAUUUUAUUAUUUAUUUAUUUAUUUAUUUAUUUAUUUAUUUAUUUAUUUUGUCAACUUCAGUAGACUUGUCAACCUGGAUUUCUUACCACAGUGACUAAUUAAUCCUUUCUGACUAUUGUGCCUCAAUAUCUGCUAUUUGAUCAAUUUGUCUAGUUAUGGUGCUAGCCAAAAGAGGAAUACGUGCCACCUUUUGAACUGCAGCCUUUGCUAAAUGUUCAGGACAAAUGUCCUUAUUUGUACAGUUAUGCAGGUCCACUUUUAUUGGAUUUUUUUCAAUAAAUAUAUUGGAAGAGUUUUUUGAGAUUUGUGACAAAUCUGAAAAAACUCACAAAUGAACUGCAUAACCUAGAAAUAUAAAAAAAUUAAGACAAAGUUAGUUAUGCCAUGAAUGUAUAAAAUACGUAUACCUACUAGGCUAUUUCAUUAUUUACUAUCAUAAAAUACACACUGAUUUAUUAUAAAAAGU
RNAcentral lists this long non-coding RNA (528 nucleotides) under Homo sapiens (human). RNAcentral describes it as "non-protein coding lnc-GRIN3A-4:1". The record is from RNAcentral. Lineage: Eukaryota; Metazoa; Chordata; Mammalia; Primates; Hominidae.